GAAGAGAAUAAGAGAUAAGUAACGGAUGAAGCUGAAUGAAUAUAGAGAAGAAGAUCCGUGUUUCCAAUAUAUAUAUAGAUAUAGAUAAAUCAAAACUUUGAAUUUUCCCAGAAAUUGCUUUCAAGAGCGACAAGACGCGUAGCGUAAGCCGCUGACGUUAUUAUUGACUUUUCAUAAAAUAAUACUCCUACGGUUUCAGAUAUACGCGCCACUAAAUAUCAUUUCCUUAGUAUUAUUCCAUUUUCGAACAUGGGUAUUAUUAUAUACUUGUUAAGGAAUUAAAUAAUCAACUCAGUUUUCUUAUAAAAGAUCGUAGACUAAUCAACGAGGACGACAGAUACUAUUUUCAAGCGCUUAAGAGAGAAUACUAUACACCCCUUUUUAGGGUUAAUCUACAAACUCAAAAAUGUUAUCUGUCUUGUGGAACAAGUCACUACAAAAGCAGCCCUACUGGAUAUAGCACUUCUCUAAGUUGAUAUUGUUUCUUCCAUGUCACGGCAUACCUUUUUGGAGCAGAUCCACCAUCAUUCUCACCUUCACAAAGGAAUAUAAAU
Molecule: long non-coding RNA, 554 nt
Organism: Brassica rapa (field mustard)
Lineage: Eukaryota; Viridiplantae; Streptophyta; Magnoliopsida; Brassicales; Brassicaceae
Source: RefSeq, a predicted model, not a curated record